CUCUGUGAAUCCUGAACUCCAGUAGGGCCCAAGCCAGCCAGGAAGGAGGAGGCAGCCAGAGAGGCCUCCACUGUUCUCUGCAGCAGAAGACCCCCUGCUGCCAGAAACUUUUUUAAAGGUUUGAAAGGCCUGGGCGAACAGAAAGGUCUUCACCUGACAGCUAAAAGAACAAAAUUAUCCAUAAGAAGUGAAGUAGGGAUGAGCCAGCAAAUUACAGACCAAUAAGCCUACUUAAUGUAACUAGCAAAUUGUACGCUAAACAUCGUGCAUUGAAUUUUGCUCCUGGUUGGAUACAGAAGAUUUGCUGAAGGAGGAGCAAGCUGGCUUCAGGCAUGUCAGGGCUCUCUGCAUUGGUGUGAGGGAAAAGAAAAGCAACCACCCAACAUCUCAGAAAGCAUAUUUAUCUUCAUCAUAGCUAGAAGCCUGACAUGGUUGUGUGUGAAAUGAUAUGAAUGUUCAACAGUUGGUUUCUUCAAAGAGGCAGAAUCUUACAAAGAAAAGCCUGUUUCAAGCACUGAAUAGUCUAUCAGAAAUCCCCAUGUUGGUUGAACUAAAAUGGAUACAUAUAUUCAAUGAAACAGAGAGCUUGCAGAACUGAUAGAGAUAAAGAGCAUGAUCAAAGUAAAAGUGAAAGUAGCAUCAUUAAGAGGCAUCAGAUCAAAUCAUUCUGACCAAUAUUUUCCUUUGUAGUAAGCAGCCAAAGCAAAGAGAAUAACUGCUCAUAGACCACAUAUUCUGGAAUAGUUAAAAUGACUUUAUUAGCAAAAAUGCAAAUAAGGAUUCUAAGUGUUACAGACAUUAUAGACAGAGUUCUUAAAAGACAGAUACAUGGUAUCCAGUUCCUUAGUCAAGAUGCAUUGGAAAACUUGGAUUAAGUGAGGUGUUCUAUACAUACAUGAAUAUUGUGGUUAAUUCCCAUGCCCACUGCUGUCAAUGCCAAUGCUACCAAGCCAUAAAGCACUUUUACAACCUUUAAGGGAUGAAUAUAUACUGUAUAUUCUCUCUCUCUCUCUCUCUCUCUCUCUCUCUCUCUCUCUCACACACACACACACACACACACACACACACACACACACACACACGUCUCCCCCCCCCUCUCUCUCUCUCUCUCACACACACACACCUCUCUCUCUCUCUCUCUCUCUCACACACACACACACUCUCUCUCUCUCUCUCUCUCUCUCUGGAAGGAAGGAAGGAAGGAAGGAAGGAAGCAAGGAAGGAAAACAUUAAAUAAUUAAAAAAAAAGAGUUCCUGAGAGUGUACAGGAUACAUCAUCAUAUUUGAAGUGGCUAUAUGCAUAAAUUUCAUUAUGUGUAAGAGGGCUAGAAUAGAGGUUGUGUGUGGCCACAUAAUAUAUGAUAUUAUGAUGCUGUACACUGAAUGUGUAUGUAUGUAAACAAAAAUCCUCUGUGUAUUCAAUGCAUUAUAUGUGAAACAAUUUUGGGACUGUUAAUUAAGUAGCAAUUAACCGCAUAUUACAUGCUAGAAAUUAUAACAGUGCCCAGAUUCUAUUUUAGAAAACUAAACUAAACUAAACGCAAAGCUUAUUCUGGAGGUGGUGAUUUUGAGUGAAAAAGCAUUGGGGGUGGGUGGGCUUUAUUUCCCCACUACCUUCUGUUUCUCUGCUUCAGGUUGCCACUCCAAAUGGCUUGCCUUUCUACACCUUCUACAUGGGUGUAGAAAAGCUGUAGGGAAACCCUUUGCAUACUAGCAUCCAAACCAUAGCCAUUAGUUUAUAUACAGCAUUCAGCUUUUGAAAUACCAUCAAAUGUGAACAAAACGGAAUGUUUGUGACAGGAUGCCAGAAGAUGAAUCCUGUACAUGGAAGUAUGUACAGGAAGUACAUAUGUGGGUAUGUACAUGGAAGUACAUGACUGGCUUGUCAUGGGCUGAAAGCUGACAUUUUCAAGAAUUACUCCUAUAUAUAUACUAUGCUCAGUGGUCAUAUGCAUAGGUUCUUAGAUAGUUCUUUUGUUAGCAGUCACAGUGACUGGGCACAGGAGAGACAAGACAUUAGAGAUAUUUUUUAAAAGAUAGAUAUAAUCUAUGUCUGUAAGUGAGUGACAGGUGCUUCUUGUUCCUUAUACCAGGAUGCUGCUAUGAAUACUUUAUUAGUUGUAGACGGAUUGGCUUGUAGACAUGUUUCUAUGUUCCUUGUUUAAAACAUUAUGUAUCCCAGAAAUAUAUUUUCUAGCUGGAGGCAAUUUGACAUGUGCCGAUCUCAUGCUGCCUAUGGUAAUAAGGAACACCAAAUAUAGUCAGCUCUAAGAAGUGACAUCUUUUAGGAAGUAAUAAAGUAUUAGACGCUAAACUCUAAGAUUUGUACCUCCAUGAUUUUGCUAAUAAAUCAUGCCCAGAGCAAGCUUGAUGAUCUUGUUCAAAUUGCCAGAAUAUAGUGGUGUACAAUAUAUUUGUUUGGAUCAGGAUUGACAGGGGAAAUAAUGUUGUGAAUUAAUUGGUAAAACACCAUGUCAAAUCUUGACAGCACAUUUGUCCAAUAAGCUGGUUUGAUCAUUUUUAAACCUAACAAUUCCAAUAUUCUGUUGGUGUCAUCUAACUUUUCUCUGCACAUUUCUGUUUUUAAAAGCUCUGUGAUCUAAACUAGAUAGUGUUACAUAAAAUUCACUCCUAGAACUAAUCUAACUUUCCUUUCUGUCAAUGAAAUACUCACAUUUUGGCCAUCUACCCCAUGCCUUAAAUAAGUGUAGUUUAUUCUAUACAACUAUAUGAAAACAAUUGUUUUCUCAUGAAGAUGAUAGCAAUAUUCUGAGCCACCAUGGAAGUAGGGUUGUCCUUACAAAACAAAAUGCUAGUCAUUCUCCCUCCCUCCCUCCCUUUCUCUCUCUCUCUCUCUCCCUCUCUCUCUCUCACACACACACACACACACACACACACACACCUCUUCAACAAACACAUAUCUUCUGAGCUUAUUUUAUUUACUUAAUGUAAAAGGUUCAGUUGCAAUUAGACAUAAAAACUAUGCGAAAUGUAAUGAAAGCACUAUCAAAACUGCAGCCUCUGUAGUUAUGGAGUUGCACUGAUCUCUAUUACAACUCAAUUAAAACUAUGGUUGCUGUCUUCAUCACCUGACAAAGGAAUGCUGUAGCCAUAGUUCUGUGUUUCAGUCUUUAAAGUACCAAUAUAGUAUUCUCUGGAAGGCUUGGAAUAGGGUUUUUUUUAUGACCUGCGAAAGAUUCAAGUCAGAUUACUUUGCUAGGAAUGUGCAAAACACUUCAAAAUUGAAAUGCUUUGAGCUUCAAAUGGGCAGUUUCUAGUGUUUCAAGCUCAAAACAACACCCUUAAAAUAAAGGGCCUGUUCUGAGGUCAAAACAGAAUAACCCCAUUUCAAUUGGAACUUUUUUAGUGUUUCUAGCACCAUUUGGGGGGCCUGGUUUUCCCUUGCUGAUUGGUUCUCUGGCACUGGAUUCCAUUUGGCUUACAAU
Hemicordylus capensis (graceful crag lizard) is the source of this 3446-nucleotide long non-coding RNA. RefSeq lists it as uncharacterized. The transcript has 3 exons. NCBI's taxonomy places the organism in Eukaryota, Metazoa, Chordata, Lepidosauria, Squamata, Cordylidae. The record is from RefSeq and is a predicted model, not a curated record.